UCCGGCAUGCUUUCCAGUUCGUCUUUAUUCUAUGGGCUUCCUCUGUGACUGUAGUAGUUGCAAUAGCUCAGAGUCGACGCUUUAUCGAGCUAUUUUACACGCUGCAGUGCUCUUAGAUAUAUUUAUGUCUACCCUACAAGUAAUUAGAGAACCUCGAGAACGUCGAGCAUCAAUACUUGUGCGCAUCUUUGUAUAUCUGUCACACCAGUGGUAAGCAAACCGUCACUGCCUCCUGCACCAAAUUGCCGCGACCUGCAUACAUGAUGAAAAGUGGAAUUGAAACCACUACACAUUAAAGCCACUGCUACAAGCGGACACCGGCAAUCCUUUGGAAGUCCCCACUUUUUCUAUGCCGUUGCAAGGAAUUCCUUAUCAGCAAAGAAAGGUAAGAAUAGAAACUGUACCCACACAACAAAGCCUUCCAGGUACACCAAGCAAGAAAGAUAAAACCUUGCCACUUAAAAAGCAGAAAGCCAACACACGGUACCAAAGCCAGUAAACUGGAAGACCUAUCUGAAGAGAAAUGGAGGCUGCAUGAAAAUGUGCUCUUGAAUAAACCACAAUUCUUUACCAUGGCCUCCAUUGUUUUCCUUGCGUCUGGGUUCUGGUGACUAAGCAAAAUUGCUUUUUCUCGUGCUUCUGUACGGUAAAAAUACUUUUUUUUUUUUUUUCGAUUUAGGAUUGUACACUCGGCAAACGUGCACUCUUAAGCAAAAAAAAAUUCGGAUGUCUAAAGACUGCAUGCUUUUCUCAACUGGCUGUUCAAAUCCGAAGGCCUUCUAUCCAUUUGUUAAAGAUUUCCUAAACUUCAGACAAUGUCAUCUAGCUUGUCGUUGGCUGAUUUGGUGAAACGAGAAAAUCUUAAAGUAAGUCAAAGUGGAAUAAUAAAUGUCAUUGAAAAGGAGCAAGUGAGUAGCCAAUAUAAACUCCUGCUCAUACGAAAAAUUGGCUGUUAUGUGGGGAUAGCUGUGGAAGCAAUGUAAAACUCUAAAAGCAAUAGAAAUCUGUCAUUGGUUAUGCCUGCGUGGUCUUAAAAUGACCACUCACCCAUUUCAGCUAUCAAUUUGUGAACAGCAGUCCAGAGGCCACCGUGAGGAAUCGAAUAACAUGGCCUAGUAAUGCCUACUGAAAAAACGGAAUGGUAGCAUGCUGCAGUCAAGAUAUCUGUUCUAGAAGCUUGCCUGAACUUUAGAGGAUUCAUGCUUUAUUGCUUUUGUAGUGAAUAUGUUCACUCUGAUCACAUGACUGUUGGCUGUACAUAAAAGCAAAUUCAUAUUCUGAAUAAACUGUUGGAAGUUGCCACC
Long non-coding RNA from Dermacentor andersoni, 1304 nucleotides. RefSeq lists it as uncharacterized. NCBI's taxonomy places the organism in Eukaryota, Metazoa, Arthropoda, Arachnida, Ixodida, Ixodidae. The record is from RefSeq and is a predicted model, not a curated record.